Molecule: ribosomal RNA, 125 nt
Filed under: Glomus sp.
Lineage: Eukaryota; Fungi; Glomeromycota; Glomeromycetes; Glomerales; Glomeraceae
Description: partial small subunit ribosomal RNA
Rfam family: Eukaryotic small subunit ribosomal RNA
Source: RNAcentral
CCUUUGUACACACCGCCCGUCGCUACUACCGAUUGAAUGGCUUAGUGAGACCUUCGGAUUGAGUUUCGGAAACUGGCAACAGAUUCUGAUUUUUGAAAAGUUGGUCAAACUUGGUCAUUUAGAGG